CUAGCCGUAAACGAUGGGUACUAGGUGUCGGUGGUUUCGAUACCAUCUGUGCCGGAGUUAACGCAAUAAGUACCCCGCCUGGGGAGUACGUGCGCAAGCAUGAAACUCAAAGGAAUUGACGGGGGCCCGCACAAGCGGUGGAGCAUGUGGUUUAAUUCGAAGCAACGCGAAGAACCUUACCAGGCCUUGACAUCCCCUGACCGUCAGGGAAACAUGGCUUCGCUUCGGAGCAGGGAGACAGGUGG
Molecule: ribosomal RNA, 245 nt
Filed under: uncultured Bacillota bacterium
Lineage: Bacteria; Bacillati; Bacillota
Description: uncultured Firmicutes bacterium partial 16S ribosomal RNA
Rfam family: Bacterial small subunit ribosomal RNA
Source: RNAcentral